This 246-nucleotide ribosomal RNA is filed under the name Triticum aestivum (bread wheat). Its description in RNAcentral is "partial small subunit ribosomal RNA". Lineage: Eukaryota; Viridiplantae; Streptophyta; Magnoliopsida; Poales; Poaceae. The record is from RNAcentral.
AUGAAUUUUAUUACUGGAUUACCUCCUUCCUGUCCGUUUGAUUGCAUCUUUGUGGUCAUUGACAAGUUUACAAAAUAUGGCCAUCUCAUGGCCCUCAAACACCCCUUCUCUGCACAGAAAGUUGUUGAAGUGUUCUCAGACAAUAUUUACAAAUUGCAUGGAAUGCCAGAGUACAUUGUAUCGGACAAAGAUCCUGUGUUUACUAGCAAUUUUUCGCAAGCCCUGGUUCACAGGACUGGAACUUAG